RNAcentral lists this ribosomal RNA (199 nucleotides) under uncultured bacterium. RNAcentral describes it as "partial 16S ribosomal RNA". It matches the Rfam family "Bacterial small subunit ribosomal RNA", at positions 328 to 539 of the family's 1533-position model. The record is from RNAcentral.
ACGCUCGACACCUACGGGAGCAGCAGUGGGGAAUAUUGCACAAUGGGGGAAACCCUGAUGCAGCGACGCCGCGUGGAGGAAGAAGGUCUUCGGAUUGUAAACUCCUGUUGUUGGGGAAAAAGAGGAUGGUACCCAACAAGGAAGUGACGGCUAACUACGUGCCAGCAGCCGCGGUAAUCUGAGGCGGGCUGGACAAGGC